GUUUUUAUUUUUAUCUUUUAAGAGCGUUCUCUUUGUUAUAUUUAGAUAUACUGCUUGAGAAAAUCAGUUGUUACUUUGGAGUUUUCUGGAUGUGGCCUCUUCUGUAGUUUGCAACAGCUCUCAUCUGGUUUGUGUAUGUAGCUUUUAUGCCAUAUUUGAACCUGGUAACAUAACAGCAAUCAGGAAUGCUGAGAGAGUCCCUCAGCUACAGUGACAGGUUCUGCAACAAAUUCCUUGUUCUUACAGGACUCUCAAUCGGGUAGUUCAAUUUUCAGAAGAGUGCACUGCCCAGAGAGUCUUCCGAUUUUACUGUCUCAUCACUCUAAAAAUCAAGGUACAUGCACGAGAAAUUCCUUCAGUUACAUUGCAUAGGAAAAUAUGAUCUUUCACAGUAAUCUUUGCACUACUGCAAUCUGUUGCAAUUGUACAAGGCUGCUUAUGACCAAGAGCCUGAGCAUCUCAGUUUAUCUCUGAGUUUGGACCUCUUUUGGCUGAGGGAAGGACCAGGAAACCUCAGGAGGAUUCUUCCACUCCAAAUUAUCACAUAUUUUUCAAGGAAAGGUCAUGAAUCUGAGAACAAAUAUGAUACAUAAGGAAAAAUGCCUGUUUCACAUCUUAACAACUUUCAAAUUACCUAACUUCUACUGUAUAAGA
Neopsephotus bourkii (Bourke's parrot) is the source of this 654-nucleotide long non-coding RNA. RefSeq lists it as uncharacterized. The record is from RefSeq and is a predicted model, not a curated record. NCBI's taxonomy places the organism in Eukaryota, Metazoa, Chordata, Aves, Psittaciformes, Psittacidae. The transcript is spliced from 3 exons.